RNA transcript from Stegostoma tigrinum, 2124 nucleotides. It is a transcript of the gene named small integral membrane protein 29-like, with no coding region annotated. The transcript is spliced from 8 exons. NCBI's taxonomy places the organism in Eukaryota, Metazoa, Chordata, Chondrichthyes, Orectolobiformes, Stegostomatidae. The record is from RefSeq and is a predicted model, not a curated record.
GCAUGCGCACGCGUGCCUUCAAUCCGGCGAUGAUCCAGGAGGACGGGCGACGGUGAGGUGACGGGAGUCGUUGGAUUGUCCGAGAAUAAGAGCCACUUGAAAGAGGUACAAGAACGUGAUUGCAAUUCUUGGAAUCAUUUCCCAGUAAAAAGUGAAUUACAAAGAUUUUGUUUAAAGUCUACUACACAAGAUUAAGCCAUUUGGACCAAUCUACACUGGCAUUUACACUCCAAAUGAGUGGACUACAAUGUCUGCAUGCCUAUUUGAGGGUGCUGACUGACCACAUCGUAAUCAUGGGUGAAACAGAAUAACAAAGAAUCUCGAUCGCUUCAUGUUCUGUUUGAAUUUUUCCUGAUGACCAGAUGACGGAUGUUCCAGUGCUCAACGCUCCAAACAAUACACCAUGAAAAGAUUGCACAACUUAAUUUUAAGAAAAACUUUCAGACACACUAGCAAUCAAGCAGAAGUAUAAAAGAAAACCUACUUUCAACACAUCAGCAAACAGAAAAGUGUCAUGCCCAAUCAAACAGCUAGCCCCCCCUCUGACAGUAACCAUAGUGCAUCAAUCUUAGGGUUCAUGCUGAUACCUGUUAUAGUUAUAGCAGUCAUUGGCAUUGCAGUUGUAGUGGUAAAGUAUGUUCGAAAGAGACGCAGGUUAGAAAAACUACGCAACAAACUUGUGCCGAUUUACUCAUAUGACCCCAGUGAGGAUCGUAAUGAUGUGGAAGAAGAAUCUUUAGAUCGCAGUGGAGAAGGGAAAGAUAAUCAUGAAUCUUCAGAUGAGAAAGCAAGCAGACUGAAUGAUAGCCAUGUCUCCACUUCAGAUACUGGCAAUGUGCUUUGAACCAAAUAUUAGCAACCAAGAUGCAGGGAUGGACUGCAGAUUAAAAUUAAGCUUUAACAUGAUGCACAUCUUGCUGCAGUAAUUGAAUUGAUGCAAAGCUACAUAGCAAUGAAUCUUAGGAGUGACAAAGAAAGGUGAAUAAUGUGCACAAAAUGAAAAACAAUGUUUGAACAUUUGAGUAUUUGAACUUUACUGAUGCUGUUGCUACAUAACAGAUCACCUGGUAGAAUCAUCUUGAAACUCUUGGUAGAACUAAACAGCUACAAGAAUAACUAUUUUUACAGUGGUUUUUGAAUUAAAAUGCCAGAUUUUGGCACUGUAUUUGUUGCAAAGCUGGAUCUUUCAACUAUAUAUUUGUGUUUUGAAAUUAUGUACAAGUAAACCGAAGAAAUGGAGAUUAAUUGUAUUAGAUUUUGCUUUUCUUGUGUAUAUUUGUGUUUGAAAAUGUGUGUGUAUUUUGUUUACUUCAGACAAAGUUCGUGGCAACAUUUGGUGAAAUCUUCUCUGGAUCAAAGUGGAGUGUUUAGCGAUCUAUCCUAAAGACAUGUGGGAACAAUUCCUUGAAUGAAUGUUCCAUUGAUUGGUUUAUAUCUGAAGGUGCUGAAACUGGUGAAAUCUGGUGCUCAGGCCAGGAAUUUAUUUGUAAAUAUGAUUCUAAAUAUACACAUCUCAGUUUCAAAGAUGACAAAAUAUAUAGCAGGGAACAAGAGUGCAAAUAGGAAAUGAGUAGUUUUGUCAGAUAGCUUAUUGUAGCUUCUGGGCCACAAGUGACAUAAGGUCAUAGUUUGGAUAUGCCAUUUAUCACUGAUAUCUAAAUUUACUUCCAUAUGUCCCUUAAUAAGAUGUUCACAUUUCAAUUCCCUGUUAGACGUGACAGUUAUGUCAUUCUGUGCAAUCUCUCUAAUGAGAUGUGCAAUACCAUUAAAUUCGUGCCGUUCCACUUUUGAAUCAGUGAACUUUUGAUCAUUUGUUCACAAUCUAACUAAACGUGCCUUUGUGCAGAAGAGAGAUUUUGCAUGCAUCAGUAUGGUCAAACGUGCAUGGAAUAGAACAUGUUCUAAAAGCGGCAUAAAUACAAUAAAGACUGAAAUGAAGCAUGUAAUUGAAUCAUAUGAGAUGCUUUAAUAAGACAUAUAGUAAUAUAAACAAAAAAUAUAUUCGAUGUAGGGUGGUGCUUCGGGUAUUCAAUUUGUUAAAAUCCGUAAUUUUGCAGCUUCUGAAUUGUAUCACUUAUUACCACAUUGAGUGUAAUCAAAACCAAUAACAUCUUUUUUUAAUAA